RNAcentral lists this ribosomal RNA (495 nucleotides) under uncultured Ambispora. RNAcentral's name for it is "SSU rRNA". It matches the Rfam family "Eukaryotic small subunit ribosomal RNA", at positions 569 to 1067 of the family's 1831-position model. The record is from RNAcentral. Lineage: Eukaryota; Fungi; Glomeromycota; Glomeromycetes; Archaeosporales; Ambisporaceae.
AGCAGCCGCGGUAAUUCCAGCUCCAAUAGCGUAUAUUAAAGUUGUUGCAGUUAAAAAGCUCGUAGUUGAAUUUUGGGUCUGGCCGGGCGGUCCGCCCUCCGGGUGAGCACUGUUCCGACGCCGGGCCUAUCCUUCUGGUGAGUCGGCAUGUCCUUUACUGGGUGUGUCGGGGAACCAGGACCAUUACCUUGAAAAAUUAGAGUGUUCAAAGCAGGCGUAUGCUCGGAUACAUUAGCAUGGAAUAAUGAAAUAGGACGCGUGGUGCUAUUUUGUUGGUUUCUAGAACCGCCGUAAUGAUUAAUAGGGAUAGUUGGGGGCAUUAGUAUUCAAUUGUCAGAGGUGAAAUUCUUGGAUUUAUUGAAGACUAACUUCUGCGAAAGCAUUUGCCAAGGAUGUUUCAUUAAUCAAGAACGAAAGUUAGGGGAUCGAAGACGAUCAGAUACCGUCGUAGUCUUAACCAUAAACUAUGCCGACUAGGAAUCGGGCGAUGUUAUU